UAGGGAAUCUUCCGCAAUGGGCGAAAGCCUGAUGGAGCAACGCCGCGUGAGUGAUGAAGGUCUUCGGAUCGUAAAACUCUGUUAUUAGGGAAGAACAAAUGUGUAAGUAACUAUGCACGUCUUGACGGUACCUAAUCAGAAAGCCACGGCUAACUACGUGCCAGCAGCCGCGGUAAUACGUAGGUGGCAAGCGUUAUCCGGAAUUAUUGGGCGUAAAGCGCGCGUAGGCGGUUUUUUAAGUCUGAUGUGAAAGCCCACGGCUCAACCGUGGAGGGUCAUUGGAAACUGGAAAACUUGAGUGCAGAAGAGGAAAGUGGAAUUCCAUGUGUAGCGGUGAAAUGCGCAGAGAUAUGGAGGAACACCAGUGGCGAAGGCGACUUUCUGGUCUGUAACUGACGCUGAUGUGCGAAAGCGUGGGGAUCAAACAGG
This 429-nucleotide ribosomal RNA is filed under the name Actinomycetes bacterium. RNAcentral describes it as "Actinobacteria bacterium partial 16S ribosomal RNA". It matches the Rfam family "Bacterial small subunit ribosomal RNA", at positions 355 to 776 of the family's 1533-position model. The record is from RNAcentral. Lineage: Bacteria; Bacillati; Actinomycetota; Actinomycetes. RNAcentral also lists the same sequence under 1 other name.